CUUCAUAUUCUACCUCUAAAAUUCAUCAUCCAUUAUACAAACUAUAAUAUCCUGUAUUUCCUUAAAUACUCAAAUUUCUAUUAAUUGAUAUCAAUUGAGUUCCUAUGUGCUCUAAAAGUUAUCAGUUGGGAUAAAUAUAGUAAAUAGUGAAUUCAGAUUGACUUAAUUAAUAUUAAUUGGGAUUGAUCUUUUAUUAAUUGGGACAUUUUGGUAACACUAAUAAUA
RNAcentral lists this long non-coding RNA (225 nucleotides) under Lathyrus oleraceus (garden pea). Its description in RNAcentral is "Pisum sativum (pea) long non-coding RNA (PSAT_LNC000058)". Lineage: Eukaryota; Viridiplantae; Streptophyta; Magnoliopsida; Fabales; Fabaceae. The record is from RNAcentral.